This 274-nucleotide ribosomal RNA is filed under the name uncultured prokaryote. RNAcentral describes it as "partial 16S ribosomal RNA". It matches the Rfam family "Bacterial small subunit ribosomal RNA", at positions 524 to 798 of the family's 1533-position model. The record is from RNAcentral.
CACGUAGGGGCGAGCGUUGUCCGGAAUUACUGGGCGUAAAGCGUGCGCAGGCGGUUUGCUAAGACAGGUGUGAAAUCCCCGGGCUUAACCUGGGAACUGCGCUUGUGACUGGCAGGCUAGAGUACGGCAGAGGGGGUGGAAUUCCUGGUGUAGCAGUGAAAUGCGUAUAUAUCGGGAGGAACACCGGUGGCGAAGGCGGCUUUCUGGCCAGUUACUGACGCUCAUGCGCGAAAAGCUGGGGUAGCGAACCGGAUUAGAUACCCGUGUAGUCCCU